This 245-nucleotide ribosomal RNA is filed under the name uncultured archaeon. RNAcentral describes it as "partial 16S ribosomal RNA". It matches the Rfam family "Archaeal small subunit ribosomal RNA", at positions 474 to 719 of the family's 1478-position model. The record is from RNAcentral.
UACCCGCGGCCCGAGUGGUGCUCAUUAUUAUUGAGCCUAAAGCGUCCGUAGCUGGCCGGGUGAAUCUCCGGGUAAAUCGGGCGGCCCAACCGUCCGAAUGCCGGAGACACUGCUCGGCUUGGGAUCGGGAGAGGGUGAAGGUACUCCCGGGGUAGGGGUAAAAUCCUGUAAUCCGGGGGGGACCACCAGUGGCGAAGGCGUUCACCUAGAACGAGUCCGACAGUGAGGGACGAAGCCCUAGGGCG